ACUCAAAUGAAUAGACGGGGGCCCGCACAAGCAGCGGAGCAUGUGGCUUAAUUCGACGCAACGCGAAGAACCUUACCAAGGCUUGACAUACGCCGGAAAGCAUCAGAGAUGGUGCCCCCCUUGUGGUCGGUGUACAGGUGGUGCAUGGCUGUCGUCAGCUCGUGUCGUGAGAUGUUGGGUUAAGUCCCGCAACGAGCGCAACCCUUGUCCUGUGUUGCCAGCGUGCCCUUCGGGGUGACGGGGACUCACAGGAGACCGCCGGGGUCAACUCGGAGGAAGGUGGGGACGACGUCAAGUCAUCAUGCCCCUUAUGUCUUGGGCUGCACACGUGCUACAAUGGCCGGUACAAUGAGCUGCGAUACCGUGAGGUGGAGCGAAUCUCAAAAAGCCGGUCUCAGUUCGGAUUGGGGUCUGCAACUCGACCCCAUGAAGUCGGAGUUGCUAGUAAUCGCAGAUCAGCAGUGCUGCGGUGAAUACGUUCCCGGGCCUUGUACACACCGCCCGU
RNAcentral lists this ribosomal RNA (505 nucleotides) under uncultured bacterium. Its description in RNAcentral is "partial 16S ribosomal RNA". It matches the Rfam family "Bacterial small subunit ribosomal RNA", at positions 899 to 1397 of the family's 1533-position model. The record is from RNAcentral.